This 759-nucleotide unclassified non-coding RNA is filed under the name Hevea brasiliensis (rubber tree). Lineage: Eukaryota; Viridiplantae; Streptophyta; Magnoliopsida; Malpighiales; Euphorbiaceae. The record is from RNAcentral.
GAUGGAUGGAGAUGAAAUGACUCGAGUUAUUUGGAAAUCUAUCAAGGAUAAGCUCAUCCUUCCCUUCCUGGAAUUGGACAUCAAAUACUUUGACCUUGGUCUUCCCCACCGUGAUGCCACAGAUGAUAAGGUUACAAUUGAAAGUGCGGAAGCCACUCAGAAGUACAACGUAGCUAUUAAGUGUGCAACCAUCACCCCAGAUGAGGCACGUGUAAAGGAGUUUAACUUGAAAUCCAUGUGGAGGAGCCCUAAUGGGACAAUCAGAAACAUCCUAAAUGGAACUGUCUUUAGAGAACCAAUUAUGUGCAAAAAUAUCCCCAGACUUGUCCCAGGUUGGACCAAACCAAUUUGCAUUGGUAGACAUGCUUUUGGAGAUCAAUACCGAGCUACUGAUACUGUUAUUAAAGGAGCUGGAAAACUCAAAUUGGUGUUUGUGCCAGAAGGAUCAGACGAGAAGACAGAAUUUGAAGUUUACAACUUUACUGGUGCUGGUGGAGUAGCUUUAUCCAUGUACAACACAGACGAGUCUGUUCGCGCAUUUGCUGAGGCUUCAAUGAACAUGGCAUUCCAAAAGAAAUGGCCGCUCUAUCUUAGUACAAAGAAUACCAUUCUUAAGAAAUAUGAUGGGAGGUUCAAGGACAUCUUCCAAGAAGUUUAUGAAGCAAAUUGGAAGUCCAAGUACGAGGAAGCUGGAAUCUGGUACGAACACCGUCUUAUCGACGAUAUGGUUGCUUAUGCUUUAAAGAGUGAAGGUGGUUA